RNAcentral lists this ribosomal RNA (423 nucleotides) under uncultured bacterium. Its description in RNAcentral is "bacterial SSU rRNA". It matches the Rfam family "Bacterial small subunit ribosomal RNA", at positions 56 to 520 of the family's 1533-position model. The record is from RNAcentral.
UGCAAGUCGUACGAGAGUUUUUAACUCAAGUGGCGGACGGGUGAGUAACACGUAAGAAUUUGCCUUUAGGAGGGGGACAACAACUGGAAACGGUUGCUAAUACCCCAUAUGCUUUCGAGUGAAAUGGAUUUUUCCGCCUAGAGAGAAGCUUGCGGCUGAUUAGCUUGUUGGUAAGGUAAUGGCUUACCAAGGCGACGAUCAGUAUCUGGUUUGAGAGGACGAUCAGACACACUGGAACUGAGACACGGUCCAGACUCCUACGGGAGGCAGCAGUGGGGAAUUUUCCGCAAUGGGCGAAAGCCUGACGGAGCAAUACCGCGUGAGGGAUGACGGCCUAUGGGUUGUAAACCUCUUUUUUCAGGGAGGAAAAAAUGACGUUACCUGAAGAAAAAGCAUCGGCUAACUCCGUGCCAGCAGCCGCGG